RNAcentral lists this ribosomal RNA (253 nucleotides) under uncultured bacterium. RNAcentral describes it as "partial 16S ribosomal RNA". It matches the Rfam family "Bacterial small subunit ribosomal RNA", at positions 524 to 776 of the family's 1533-position model. The record is from RNAcentral.
UACGUAGGGGGCAAGCGUUGUCCGGAUUUAUUGGGCGUAAAGAGCGUGUAGGCGGCUGGGUAGGUCCGUUGUGAAAACUCGAGGCUCAACCUCGAGACGCCGAUGGAAACCCCCCAGCUAGAGUCCGGAAGAGGAGAGUGGAAUUCCUGGUGUAGCGGUGAAAUGCGCAGAUAUCAGGAGGAACACCAAUUGCGAAGGCAGCUCGCUGGGACGUCACUGACGCUGAGACGCGAAAGCGUGGGGAGCAAACAGG